RNAcentral lists this ribosomal RNA (464 nucleotides) under uncultured Methylococcaceae bacterium. Its description in RNAcentral is "bacterial SSU rRNA". It matches the Rfam family "Bacterial small subunit ribosomal RNA", at positions 338 to 795 of the family's 1533-position model. Lineage: Bacteria; Pseudomonadati; Pseudomonadota; Gammaproteobacteria; Methylococcales; Methylococcaceae. The record is from RNAcentral.
CCUACGGGGGGCAGCAGUGGGGAAUAUUGGACAAUGGGCGCAAGCCUGAUCCAGCAAUACCGCGUGUGUGAAGAAGGCCUGAGGGUUGUAAAGCACUUUCAAUAGGGAGGAAAAAGGUAGGUUUAAUACGUCUGCCCUUGACAUUACCUAUAGAAGAAGCACCGGCUAACUCCGUGCCAGCAGCCGCGGUAAUACGGAGGGUGCGAGCGUUAAUCGGAAUUACUGGGCGUAAAGCGUGCGUAGGCGGCCUGUUAAGUCAGAUGUGAAAGCCCCGGGCUUAACCUGGGAACGGCAUUUGAAACUGGCAAGCUAGAGUUGAGUAGAGGGGAGUGGAAUUUCAGGUGUAGCGGUGAAAUGCGUAGAUAUCUGAAGGAACACCAGUGGCGAAGGCGGCUCCCUGGACUCAAACUGACGCUGAGGUACGAAAGCGUGGGUAGCAAACAGGAUUAGAUACCCUUGUAGUC